UACGUAGGGUGCGAGCGUUAAUCGGAAUCACUGGGCUUAAAGCGCGUGUAGGCGGGUGGGAACGUCGGCCGCUGAAAUCCCCCGGCUCAACCGGGGAAGGGGCGCCGAAACGGCCCGCCUGGAGGGACGUAGGGGGAGCUGGAACUUCCGGUGGAGCGGUGAAAUGCGUUGAGAUCGGAAGGAACGCCCGUGGCGAAAGCGGUUCUCUGGGCCUGUACUGACGCUGAGGAGCGAAAGCGUGGGGAGCGAACAGG
RNAcentral lists this ribosomal RNA (254 nucleotides) under uncultured bacterium. Its description in RNAcentral is "partial 16S ribosomal RNA". It matches the Rfam family "Bacterial small subunit ribosomal RNA", at positions 524 to 776 of the family's 1533-position model. The record is from RNAcentral.